Molecule: microRNA, 24 nt
Filed under: Glycine max (soybean)
Lineage: Eukaryota; Viridiplantae; Streptophyta; Magnoliopsida; Fabales; Fabaceae
Description: gma-miR10406a
Source: miRBase by way of RNAcentral
CAGUCGAGUUAUUGUAUAAUUCAC